UAGAGUUUGAUCCUGGCUCAGGAUGAACGCUGGCGGCGUGCCUAACACAUGCAAGUCGAACGGACUUAUAACGAAACCUAGUGAAUUAUAAGUUAGUGGCGGACGGGUGAGUAACGCGUGGAAAACCUGCCGUAUACUGGGGGAUAACACUUAGAAAUAGGUGCUAAUACCGCAUAAGCGCACAGCUUCGCAUGAAGCAGUGUGAAAAACUCCGGUGGUAUACGAUGGUUCCGCGUCUGAUUAGCUAGUUGGUGAGGUAAAAGCCCACCAAGGCAACGAUCAGUAGCCGGCCUGAGAGGGUGAACGGCCACAUUGGGACUGAGACACGGCCCAGACUCCUACGGGAGGCAGCAGUGGGGGAUAUUGCACAAUGGGGGAAACCCUGAUGCAGCGACGCCGCGUGAGUGAAGAAGUAUUUCGGUACGUAAAGCUCUAUCAGCAGGGAAAGAAAAAAAGUCCACAGGACUUUGGACGGUACCUGACUAAGAAGCCCCGGCUAACUACGUG
RNAcentral lists this ribosomal RNA (507 nucleotides) under uncultured Lachnospiraceae bacterium. RNAcentral's name for it is "bacterial SSU rRNA". It matches the Rfam family "Bacterial small subunit ribosomal RNA", at positions 1 to 507 of the family's 1533-position model. Lineage: Bacteria; Bacillati; Bacillota; Clostridia; Lachnospirales; Lachnospiraceae. The record is from RNAcentral.